RNAcentral lists this long non-coding RNA (203 nucleotides) under Vigna radiata. RNAcentral's name for it is "long non-coding RNA (VRAD_LNC003185)". Lineage: Eukaryota; Viridiplantae; Streptophyta; Magnoliopsida; Fabales; Fabaceae. The record is from RNAcentral.
AGAUAUUGUUUGUUUUGGAUGUAUGGGUGUGGUAACCUUAUCCGUUACAAUUUUGUACUUAAAAGACAUCUCAUACAAUGGAAAGUGAAAAAAAAAAUUAUGUUUAACUUCCACUCUUAAAAUGAUAUUGAAUUAUUGAGUGUUGUAGAAACAAGUAUUAAAUUAUAUAAUGCAUUGAUGAAAUAUUUAAACUUAUUUAUUAC